UACGGAGGGUGCGAGCGUUGUCCGGAAUCACUGGGCGUAAAGGGCGCGUAGGCGGCUCAUGAAGGCUGUGGUGAAAGUCCGGGGCUCAACCUCGGAUCGGCCGUGGCGACUCGUGGGCUGGAGCACUGUAGAGGCGGGUGGAAUUCCGGGUGUAGCGGUGGAAUGCGUAGAGAUCCGGAAGAACACCGGUGCGAGGCGGUCUGCUGGGCAGUUGCUGGACACUGAGGCGCGACAGCGUGGGGGAGCAAACAGG
RNAcentral lists this ribosomal RNA (253 nucleotides) under uncultured bacterium. Its description in RNAcentral is "partial 16S ribosomal RNA". It matches the Rfam family "Bacterial small subunit ribosomal RNA", at positions 524 to 776 of the family's 1533-position model. The record is from RNAcentral.